CUCAUGAUGAACGCUAGCUACAGGCUUAACACAUGCAAGUCGAGGGGCAGCAUGGUCUUAGCUUGCUAAGGCCGAUGGCGACCGGCGCACGGGUGAGUAACACGUAUCCAACCUGCCGUCUACUCUUGGACAGCCUUCUGAAAGGAAGAUUAAUACAAGAUGGCAUCAUGAGUCCGCAUGUUCACAUGAUUAAAGGUAUUCCGGUAGACGAUGGGGAUGCGUUCCAUUAGAUAGUAGGCGGGGUAACGGCCCACCUAGUCUUCGAUGGAUAGGGGUUCUGAGAGGAAGGUCCCCCACAUUGGAACUGAGACACGGUCCAAACUCCUACGGGAGGCAGCAGUGAGGAAUAUUGGUCAAUGGGCGAGAGCCUGAACCAGCCAAGUAGCGUGAAGGAUGACUGCCCUAUGGGUUGUAAACUUCUUUUAUAAAGGAAUAAAGUCGGGUAUGGAUACCCGUUUGCAUGUACUUUAUGAAUAAGGAUCGGCUAACUCCGUGCCAGCAGCCGCGGUAAUACGGAGGAUCCGAGCGUUAUCCGGAUUUAUUGGGUUUAAAGGGAGCGUAGAUGGAUGUUUAAGUCAGUUGUGAAAGUUUGCGGCUCAACCGUAAAAUUGCAGUUGAUACUGGAUAUCUUGAGUGCAGUUGAGGCAGGCGGAAUUCGUGGUGUAGCGGUGAAAUGCUUAGAUAUCACGAAGAACUCCGAUUGCGAAGGCAGCCUGCUAAGCUGCAACUGACAUUGAGGCUCGAAAGUGUGGGUAUCAAACAGGAUUAGAUACCCUGGUAGUCCACACGGUAAACGAUGAAUACUCGCUGUUUGCGAUAUACUGCAAGCGGCCAAGCGAAAGCGUUAAGUAUUCCACCUGGGGAGUACGCCGGCAACGGUGAAACUCAAAGGAAUUGACGGGGGCCCGCACAAGCGGAGGAACAUGUGGUUUAAUUCGAUGAUACGCGAGGAACCUUACCCGGGCUUAAAUUGCAGAUGAAUUACGGUGAAAGCCGUAAGCCGCAAGGCAUCUGUGAAGGUGCUGCAUGGUUGUCGUCAGCUCGUGCCGUGAGGUGUCGGCUUAAGUGCCAUAACGAGCGCAACCCUUGUUGUCAGUUACUAACAGGUUCCGCUGAGGACUCUGACAAGACUGCCAUCGUAAGAUGUGAGGAAGGCGGGGAUGACGUCAAAUCAGCACGGCCCUUACGUCCGGGGCUACACACGUGUUACAAUGGGGGGUACAGAGGGCCGCUACCACGCGAGUGGAUGCCAAUCCCCAAAACCUCUCUCAGUUCGGACUGGAGUCUGCAACCCGACUCCACGAAGCUGGAUUCGCUAGUAAUCGCGCAUCAGCCACGGCGCGGUGAAUACGUUCCCGGGCCUUGUACACACCGCCCGUCAAGCCAUGGGAGCCGGGGGUACCUGAAGUGCGUAACCGCGAGGAGCGCCCUAGGGUAAAACUGGUGAC
RNAcentral lists this ribosomal RNA (1448 nucleotides) under uncultured organism. RNAcentral's name for it is "SSU rRNA". It matches the Rfam family "Bacterial small subunit ribosomal RNA". The record is from RNAcentral.